RNAcentral lists this long non-coding RNA (1246 nucleotides) under Nicotiana tabacum (common tobacco). RNAcentral describes it as "long non-coding RNA (NTAB_LNC012695)". Lineage: Eukaryota; Viridiplantae; Streptophyta; Magnoliopsida; Solanales; Solanaceae. The record is from RNAcentral.
CAAGAUUCAUUUUUUGGAAAUUUCUUUCUUAAAGACUCCUUAACAAGUAAAGUUAAGGAUUCUUCUUUAAAGAAUGGAAAUUCAGUUACUAAAUUUCAUAUAGAAAACGUAGAAGAUAGAGGCUUGUUCGUUUAUUUGGAUCAAAAGAUCAGAAGCAAUUUCGUCCAAAAGUUUCAAAGAAAUCCAAAUCCAAAUUUCGUGUAUAAAUUUCAAAGGAGCAAGAACAAUUUCGUUCAAGAAUUUCGCAGAAACAUGUAUGUUAAGGUUAUCCCUUCUUUCUUUUGGCAUGAUCAUACGAUACGAACGAAACGUGCAAAUGCACAAAUUCAAUGAAUGACUUUAUUCAUAGAAGUAUUAGAGAUAUUUUAUGAAUGACUCUAUUCAAUAUUUUAUCAUCUGUUCAUGGGUCUCACAAUAAUACGCAGUUGGAAAAAUUUAUCCAAAAAGAAUAUUGAGAUUAUUACGUAUUUUUCAUGCAUCUCAUAUAUGUGGAUUGACCCAUGACCAGAUGGCGUUAUAUACGCAUAUAUAUGUAUAUUACAUUUAUAUGGGAUACGGGAAAAGGUUAGGGUGUUAUAUACGCACCACCACCUGAUCAGCUGGUAUAUGAUGAUGAUGUUGCCCACAAUGGCUGAAAUAUGAUUCAAACGGCGUUAUAUACGCAUAUAUAUAUAUGUAUGUAUAUGGGAUAUGGGAAAGGUUAUGGCGUUAUAUACGCACCACCACCUGAUCAGCUGGUAUACGGCGAUGAUUUUGCCCACAGUGGCCGAUAUGAUAUGAUAGGAUGCCCUUAGAGGCUGAUGAUGCUAUAAAACAUGUACCUAUGCACGACAUGACAUUCAUAUGCAUAUGCAUAACGCUAAAAGUAAUUUAUGAUUUACAAAGUUAUUCAGACUUACAGGUUGAGUCAUGUACUCUAUAUGUCUUCCAUGUCUCUUAUGUAUUUAUUUAUGUGCCUUACAUACUCGGUACAUUAUUUGUAUUGGCGUCCCUUUUACCUGGGGGCGUUGCGUUUCAUGCCCGCAGGUCCCGAUAGACAGGUCGAGAGCCCUCAAGUAAGCUAUCAGCUCAGCGGAAGAUGUUGGUGCACUCCAUUUGCUUCGGAGUUGCUUGUUUGGUUAGUAUGAUUUAGACGUGUAUUGUUUGGUAUGGCAGGACUCUAUCCCGACCUUUAUGACAUUUAUGUUGUCUUAGAGGCUUGUAGACAUAUGUCGUAUAUGUGAAAGAUUGUACAGCCUUGUCGACC